GAUGAACGCUGGCGGCGUGCCUAAUACAUGCAAGUCGAGCGAACAGACGCGGCGCUUGCUCCUCUGACGUUUGCGGCGGACGGGUGAGUAACACGUGGAUAACCUACCUAUCAGACUGGGAUAACUUCGGGAAACCGGAGCUAAUACCGGAUAAUAUCUUGCACCGCAUGGUUCAAUAGUGAAAGACGGUUUUGCUGUCACUUAUAGAUGGAUCCGCGCCGCAUUAGCUAGUUGUUAAGGUAACGGCUUACCAAGGCUACGAUGCGUAGCCGACCUGAGAGGGUGGUAGCCCACACGGGAACUGGGACACGGUCCAGACUCCUACGGGAGGCAGCAGUAGGGAAUGGUCCGCAAUGGGCGAAAGCCUGACGGAGCGACGGCGCGUGAGUGAUGAAGGUCUUCGGAUCGUAAAACUCUGUUAUUAGGGAAGAACAAAUGUGGAAGGAACUGUGCACGUCGUGACGGUACCUAAUCAGAAAGCCACGGCUAACUACGUG
Molecule: ribosomal RNA, 497 nt
Filed under: uncultured bacterium
Lineage: Bacteria
Description: partial 16S ribosomal RNA
Rfam family: Bacterial small subunit ribosomal RNA
Source: RNAcentral